Molecule: ribosomal RNA, 497 nt
Filed under: uncultured bacterium
Lineage: Bacteria
Description: partial 16S ribosomal RNA
Rfam family: Bacterial small subunit ribosomal RNA
Source: RNAcentral
GAUGAACGCUGGCGGCGUGCCUAAUACAUGCAAGUCGAGCGAACAGACGAGGAGCUUGCUCCUUUGACGUUAGCGGCGGACGGGUGUGUCACACGUGGGUAACCUACCUAUAAGACUGGGAUAACUUCGGGACACCGGAGCUAAUACCGGAUAAUAUUUCGAACCGCAUGGUUCGAUAGUGAAAGAUGGCUUUGCUAUCACUUAUAGAUGGACCUGGGCCGUAUUAGCUAGUUGGUAAGGUAACGGCCUACCAAGGCAACGAUACGUAGCCGACCUGAGAGGGGGAUCGGCCACACGGGAGGGGAGCCGCGGUCCAGGCGCCUGCGGGAGGCAGCAGUCGGGUAUCGUAGGCAGUGGGCGGAAGCAUGACGGAGCGAGGGGGCGUGAGUGAUAACAGUGCUCGGUUCGGAAAGCUGGGUUAUUGGUGGAAAACAACCGUGUAAGGAACUGAGGAGGGCGUGACGGUACCUAAUAAGAAAGCCACGGCUAACUACGUG